GAUGAACGCUGGCGGCGUGCCUAAUACAUGCAAGUCGAGCGAACAGAUGAGGAGCUUGCUCCUCUGACGUUAGCGGCGGACGGGUGAGUAACACGUGGAUAACCUACCUAUAAGACUGGGAUAACUUCGGGAAACCGGAGCUAAUACCGGAUAAUAUAUUGAACCGCAUGGUUCAAUAGUGAAAGACGGUUUUGCUGUCACUUAUAGAUUGAUCCGCGCCGCAUUAGCUAGUUGGUAAGGUAACGGCUUACCAAGGCAACGAUGCGUAGCCGACCUGAGAGGGUGAUCGGCCACACUGGACCUGAGACACGGUCCAGACUCCUACGGGAGGCAGCAGUAGGGAACCUUCCGCAAUGGGCGAAAGCCUGACGGAGCAACGCCGCGUGAGUGAUGAAGGUCUUCGGAUCGUAAAACUCUGUUAUUAGGGAAGAACAAAUGUGUAAGUAACUAUGCACGUCUUGACGGUACCUAAUCAGAAAGCCACGGCGAACUACGU
Molecule: ribosomal RNA, 496 nt
Filed under: uncultured bacterium
Lineage: Bacteria
Description: partial 16S ribosomal RNA
Rfam family: Bacterial small subunit ribosomal RNA
Source: RNAcentral